GGGCGCGUAGCUCAGCGGGAGAGCGCUUGCUUCACACGCAAGAGGUCGCAGGUUCAAAACCUGCCGCGCCCACCA
Molecule: transfer RNA, 75 nt
Filed under: Actinomycetes bacterium
Lineage: Bacteria; Bacillati; Actinomycetota; Actinomycetes
Also listed under: 3 other names
Description: Actinobacteria bacterium tRNA-Val
Rfam family: tRNA
About the family: Transfer RNA (tRNA) molecules are approximately 80 nucleotides in length. Their secondary structure includes four short double-helical elements and three loops (D, anti-codon, and T loops).
Source: RNAcentral